Molecule: ribosomal RNA, 498 nt
Filed under: Spiroplasma endosymbiont of Heliconius melpomene
Lineage: Bacteria; Bacillati; Mycoplasmatota; Mollicutes; Entomoplasmatales; Spiroplasmataceae
Description: bacterial SSU rRNA
Rfam family: Bacterial small subunit ribosomal RNA
Source: RNAcentral
UUUUAGAGUUUGAUCCUGGCUCAGGAUGAACGCUGGCGGCAUGCUUAAUACAUGCAAGUCGAACGGGGUGCUUGCACCCAGUGGCGAACGGGUGAGUAACACGUAUCUAAUCUACCUUUUAGUGGGGGAUAACAGUUGGAAACGACUGCUAAUACCGCAUACGACAUCAUUAUCGCAUGAGAAGAUGUUGAAAGGCCCGUUUGGGUCGCUAGAAGAUGAGGAUGCGGCGUAUUAGCUAGUAGGUGGGGUAAAGGCCCACCUAGGCGAUGAUACGUAGCCGAACUGAGAGGUUGAUCGGCCACAUUGGGACUGAGAUACGGCCCAGACUCCUACGGGAGGCAGCAGUAGGGAAUUUUUCACAAUGGGCGAAAGCCUGAUGAAGCAAUGCCGCGUGAGUGAUGACGGUCUUCCGAUUGUAAAGCUCUGUUGUAAGGGAAGAACAGCUAGAAGAGGAAAUGCUUUUAGUUUGACGGUACCUUACCAGAAAGCCACGGCUAA